UACGGAGGGUGCAAGCGUUAUCCGGAUUCACUGGGUUUAAAGGGUGCGUAGGUGGGCUAGUAAGUCCGUGGUGAAAUCUCUGAGCUUAACUCGGAAACUGCCGUGGAUACUAUUAGUCUUGAAUCUCGUGGAGGUAAGCGGAAUAUGUCAUGUAGCGGUGAAAUGCUUAGAUAUGACAUAGAACACCGAUAGCGAAGGCAGCUUGCUACACGAGUAUUGACACUGAGACGCGAAAGCGUGGGGAGCGAACAGG
This 253-nucleotide ribosomal RNA is filed under the name uncultured bacterium. RNAcentral's name for it is "partial 16S ribosomal RNA". It matches the Rfam family "Bacterial small subunit ribosomal RNA", at positions 524 to 776 of the family's 1533-position model. The record is from RNAcentral.